AGAGUUUGAUCCUGGCUCAGGACGAACGCUGGCGGCGUGCCUAACACAUGCAAGUCGAACGCCGGAAGUCAGAUGACAGAGGCCAGAAGUCAGAAAGGGAAUCCCCCAAUCUGGCAUCCGGUUUCUGACAUCUGACAACUGGAGUGGCGGACGGGUGAGUAACGCGUGGGUAACCUACCCAUAAACCCGGGACAACCCUUGGAAACGAGGGCUAAUACCGGAUAUUCUAUCAUGGUGGCAUCAUCGAGAUAGGAAAGGUGGCCUCUGAAUAUGCUACCGAUUAUGGAUGGACCCGCGUCUGAUUAGCUAGUUGGUAGGGUAAUGGCCUACCAAGGCGACGAUCAGUAGCCGGCCUGAGAGGGUGAACGGCCACACUGGGACUGAGACACGGCCCAGACUCCUACGGGAGGCAGCAGUGGGGAAUCUUCCGCAAUGGACGAAAGUCUGACGGAGCAACGCCGCGUGUAUGAAGAAGGCCUUCGGGUUGUAAAGUACUGUCUUUGGGGAAGAAUGGUAUUUUUGAAAAUAUUGAGAAUACAUGACGGUACCCAAGGAGGAAGCCCCGGCUAACUACGUGCCAGCAGCCGCGGU
RNAcentral lists this ribosomal RNA (591 nucleotides) under uncultured bacterium. RNAcentral's name for it is "bacterial SSU rRNA". It matches the Rfam family "Bacterial small subunit ribosomal RNA", at positions 8 to 521 of the family's 1533-position model. The record is from RNAcentral.